Molecule: long non-coding RNA, 1099 nt
Filed under: Paramuricea clavata
Lineage: Eukaryota; Metazoa; Cnidaria; Anthozoa; Malacalcyonacea; Plexauridae
Source: RNAcentral
GCAGGUCAUCCCACAUGCAUCUUACAUUCCACUUGCAACAUUAUAUAGUUAACGUACAGUACAUAUUUAAUGGGAAUAGUAGCUAGUUACCUUGAUUUGGCCAUAUACCUGUUGCAGGCAUACAUCAGCACAUGUAAGUUAUGAUUUGUCUUCCAGGGAUAUGAAGCAAUGUCAGGAGGUCAGGGUAAUGUAGCUUACCCCAUAACCCCAAUAAUGGCAGAUUUUCCAAUCAGUGCCCCCAGUUUUGGAUAGGCAAUUUAGCAACACCCUGCCUUGCCUGCCACCUUUCAGACAGGCACCCAACCUGAUGACAUCAGUCUGUGUUAAUUGUUAAACCCAUAGAUAGGUCUCCUAUAUCUAUGGUUAAACCUAAAUGAUAAUAUUAUAUCAGCAAAAACAUUUCAAAGUUCAAACACUGUGUCAUAAUUCCAUUUAAUUAAGUUAUUUUCAAGCAUCAAUAAUUAAUUGUCAACAUAAUUUUUUAUGACUCAACUAAUAAAUAAAUUAAAUACAUAUAACCAUGGAACUGUUUGUAUGAAUGUAAUGCAAUGCAUAAUACAGUGCCGUAGCCAGAAUGAUAAUUGGGGGGGGGGGCACAUAUUCAUAUAUUCGUGUUCACAUACCAUAAAAACAAUUGAUUUCAAAAGAAAUUAAUAAAGCAGAACACAAAUAUAUGAAUAUGUGCCCCCCCCCCCAAUUAUCGUUCUGGCUACGGUACUGGCACAAUGUUAAAUCAAACUUAUCACAGGACAAAGGAAUGAUAUAGCUAGAGUAAUAACAGAGGGAAGUAUUUUCAUGUUUAUUUUAAAUAUCAAUACAAUGCACCAAUUAAAGUAUCACUAUGUAAUUGUAAUAAACAAAAUAGGCUAACAGGUCCACAGUUGCCCAUAAAGCAUUCUACAUAUUUUAAUAUUAUAAAAAAUAUCUAAUAGUUUGUAAUAAUCUAGAUCCUCUAUAAAACCUCUGUCAGUGGCCUUCUUGCGAAGUCUCUCGAUACCAUUUCUUGACCGUAUAAAAUCCAUAGAAAUGAUUAGUUUAUAUACACCGCAUAUAUAUUUACUCUGUACAAGAAAAUGAAUCUUUUUUAACCUUUUUCAAU